This 492-nucleotide ribosomal RNA is filed under the name uncultured bacterium. RNAcentral describes it as "partial 16S ribosomal RNA". It matches the Rfam family "Bacterial small subunit ribosomal RNA", at positions 30 to 507 of the family's 1533-position model. The record is from RNAcentral.
AUUGAACGCUGGCGGCAUGCUUUACACAUGCAAGUCGAACGGUAACAGGCCUUCGGGUGCUGACGAGUGGCGAACGGGUGAGUAAUGCAUCGGCACGUGCCCAGAGGUGGGGGAUAACGCAGCGAAAGCUGUGCUAAUACCGCAUGUGAUCUGAGGAUGAAAGCGGGGGACCAGGCAGCAAUGUUUGGCCUCGCGCCUUUGGAGCGGCCGAUGUCAGAUUAGGUAGUUGGUGGGGUAAAGGCCUACCAAGCCGACGAUCUGUAGCUGGUCUGAGAGGACGAUCAGCCACACUGGGACUGAGACACGGCCCAGACUCCUACGGGAGGCAGCAGUGGGGAAUUUUGGACAAUGGGCGCAAGCCUGAUCCAGCAAUGCCGCGUGCGGGAAGAAGGCCUUCGGGUUGUAAACCGCUUUUGUACGGAACGAAAAGGCUCUGGCUAAUACCUGGGGCUGAUGACGGUACCGUAAGAAUAAGCACCGGCUAACUACGUG